CGAACGCUGGCGGCGUGCCUAAUACAUGCAAGUCGAACGGUCUUUCUAUGGAAGCUUGCUUCCACUGAGAAGAUAGUGGCGAACGGGUGAGUAACACGUGGGUAACCUGCCCAUAAGAGGGGGAUAACAUCCGGAAACGGGUGCUAAUACCGCAUAGUUUUCUUGAUCGCAUGAUCGGGAAAGGAAAGACGGCCUUUGUGCUGUCGCUUAUGGAUGGACCCGCGGCGUAUUAGUUAGUUGGUGAGGUAACGGCUCACCAAGACGAUGAUACGUAGCCGACCUGAGAGGGUGAUCGGCCACAUUGGGACUGAGACACGGCCCAAACUCCUACGGGAGGCAGCAGUAGGGAAUCUUCCGCAAUGGACGAAAGUCUGACGGAGCAACGCCGCGUGAGUGAAGAAGGUUUUCGGAAUCGUAAAACUCUGUUGUCAGAGAAGAACAAGUUGGAGAGUAACUGCUCCAGCCUUGACGGUAUCUGACCAGAAAGCCACGGCUAACUACGUGCCAGCAGCAGC
Molecule: ribosomal RNA, 515 nt
Filed under: uncultured bacterium
Lineage: Bacteria
Description: bacterial SSU rRNA
Rfam family: Bacterial small subunit ribosomal RNA
Source: RNAcentral